UAGCUAGUUGGUAGGGUAAAGGCCUACCAAGGCGACGAUCGGUAGCUGGUCUGAGAGGAUGACCAGCCACACUGGAACUGAGACACGGUCCAGACUCCUACGGGAGGCAGCAGUGGGGAAUAUUGGACAAUGGGGGCAACCCUGAUCCAGCAAUGCCGCGUGUGUGAAGAAGGCCUGAGGGUUGUAAAGCACUUUCAGUGGGGAGGAGGAUUGAUAGGUUAAGAGCUAAUUAAUUGGACGUUACCCACAGAAGAAGCACCGGCUAACUCCGUGCCAGCAGCCGCGGUAAUACGGAGGGUGCGAGCGUUAAUCGGAAUUACUGGGCGUAAAGGGUGCGUAGGUGGUUGUAUAAGUUAUCUGUGAAAUCCCUGGGCUUAACCUGGGCAGGUCAGAUAAGACUGUAUGACUCGAGUAUGGGAGAGGGUAGUGGAAUUUCCGGUGUAGCGGUGAAAUGUGUAGAGAUCGGAAGGAACACCAGUGGCGAAGGCGGCUACCUGGCCCAAUACUGACACUGAGGCACGAAAGCGUGGGGAGCAAACAGGAUUAGAUACCCUGGUAGUCCACGCUGUAAACGAUGUCAACUAGCUGUUGGUUAUAUGAAUAUAAUUAGUGGCGC
This 616-nucleotide ribosomal RNA is filed under the name uncultured Legionella sp. RNAcentral describes it as "bacterial SSU rRNA". It matches the Rfam family "Bacterial small subunit ribosomal RNA", at positions 242 to 849 of the family's 1533-position model. The record is from RNAcentral. Lineage: Bacteria; Pseudomonadati; Pseudomonadota; Gammaproteobacteria; Legionellales; Legionellaceae.